GAACGCACCUUGCGCCCCUUGGUAUUCCGGGGGGCAUGCCUGUUCGAGCGUCAUUAUAACCCUCAAGCCUAGCUUGGUGUUGGAGCAUGCUACCUAGCAGCUCUUAAAAUCAGUGGCAGUGCCCUUCGGCUCUAAGCGUAGUAACUUCUCUCGCUAUGGAAACCGGAUGGUACGCGCCAAAACCCCCAACUUUCUAUGGUUGACCUCGGAUCAGGUAGGGAUACCCGCUGAACUUAAG
This 238-nucleotide unclassified non-coding RNA is filed under the name uncultured Helotiales. RNAcentral describes it as "sequence contains 5.8S rRNA gene". The record is from RNAcentral. Lineage: Eukaryota; Fungi; Ascomycota; Leotiomycetes; Helotiales.